GAUGAAGAACGUAGCGAAAUGCGAUACGUAAUGUGAAUUGCAAAUUCAGUGAAUCAUCGAGUCUUUGAACGCACAUUGCGCCCCCUGGUAUUCCGGGGGGCAUGUCUGUCCGAGCGUCAUUGCUGCCCUCAAGCACGGCUUGUGUGUUGGGCCCCGUCCUCCGAUCCCGGGGGACGGGCCCGAAAGGCAGCGGCGGCACCGCGUCCGGUCCUCGAGCGUAUGGGGCUUUGUCACCCGCUCUGUAGGCCCGGCCGGCGCUUGCCGAUCAACCCAAAUUUUUAUCCAGGUUGAACUCGGAUCAGGUAGGGAUACCCGCUGAACUUAAGCAUAUCAAUAAGCGGAGGA
RNAcentral lists this unclassified non-coding RNA (345 nucleotides) under soil metagenome. Its description in RNAcentral is "partial contains 5.8S ribosomal RNA, internal transcribed spacer 2, and large subunit ribosomal RNA". The stretch from base 1 to 119 matches the Rfam family "5.8S ribosomal RNA", at positions 35 to 154 of the family's 154-position model. The record is from RNAcentral.